UUGCUCCCUUAGGUCAGCGGCGGACGGGUGAGUAACACGUGGGUAACCUGCCUGUAAGACUGGGAUAACUCCGGGAAACCGGGGCUAAUACCGGAUGCUUGAUUGAGCCGCAUGGUUCAAUUAUAAAAGGUGGCUUUCAGCUACCACUUACAGAUGGACCCGCGGCGCAUUAGCUAGUUGGUGAGGUAACGGCUCACCAAGGCGACGAUGCGUAGCCGACCUGAGAGGGUGAUCGGCCACACUGGGACUGAGACACGGCCCAGACUCCUACGGGAGGCAGCAGUAGGGAAUCUUCCGCAAUGGACGAAAGUCUGACGGAGCAACGCCGCGUGAGUGAUGAAGGUUUUCGGAUCGUAAAACUCUGUUGUUAGGGAAGAACAAGUACCGUUCGAAUAGGGCGGCACCUUGACGGUACCUAACCAGAAAGCCACGGCUAACUACGUGCCAGCAGCCGCGGUAAUACGUAGGUGGCAAGCGUUGUCCGGAAUUAUUGGGCGUAAAGCGCGCGCAGGCGGUUUCUUAAGUCUGAUGUGAAAGCCCCCGGCUCAACCGGGGAGGGUCA
RNAcentral lists this ribosomal RNA (562 nucleotides) under uncultured Bacilli bacterium. RNAcentral describes it as "bacterial SSU rRNA". It matches the Rfam family "Bacterial small subunit ribosomal RNA", at positions 79 to 625 of the family's 1533-position model. The record is from RNAcentral. Lineage: Bacteria; Bacillati; Bacillota; Bacilli.